This 1673-nucleotide long non-coding RNA is filed under the name Brassica napus (rape). RNAcentral describes it as "long non-coding RNA (BNAP_LNC001550)". Lineage: Eukaryota; Viridiplantae; Streptophyta; Magnoliopsida; Brassicales; Brassicaceae. The record is from RNAcentral.
GUGCACUAGUUAACUCAAGUGAGAACGGAGUAUGUAUUUCUAAAAGGGGACGACCAUACGAGUUAGAAGGAAAGCUUCCCAAGCCUGGUGAUCUAAACCUGUGUAAUGCCUUCCAUGACAAGACUUGCUGGUCUGCUUCAUUAGCUCUCCAAAACCUAGCUACGCAUGGAGAAGCUUCUAAAGAUGAGAAACAACCAAACACGCCUUAUGCUACCUAAGGAUGAUGUGGUUGCGCAUAUUCUGGACUACCUAACGGAUGAAGAGCGCCUAAUGAUCGAAGAUGCAAAUAAUCGAGGGUUGAGGAUCAGAGUGUACGACAGCAAUACUGAGUCUUUGCAUCAGCUGACUUUGAAAAAGUGGCAUUCAAGUGGAAGCUAUGUGUUCAUUAGCAAUUGGAAUGAGCAAUUUGUUAUAAGAAGAAACCUCGAAGCUGGCGAUUUAAUUGGACUCUUUUGGAAUACUUAUGCGUCAAGGCUCCACUUUCGUGUGAUUAGGCGUCAUUAUGACCAUUGAUUUCAAGGAUUUCUUUUUUAUUUUAAGAUUUAAAAUAUUAUAGAUGUGUGUGGGUUUUGUGUUAAAUUCACGUUUUUUAUUAGUUUCUAAUUUAAACCCAGUUGUGAUAAAUAAUUAAAUUGACUAAAAACUUUUUAUAUAUAUAUAUAUAUAUAUAUAUAUAUAGUUUGAUCAAUAAAAAUAUAUAUAUAUAUAUAUAUAGUUAGUUAAUUCAGUUGUUCAUUCAAUCAGUAACAUCAUGUUAUUACCAUUCAUAUUGCAGUGUCUUCUAAGGAGUUUCUUUUUCGUUCAUCUCAAUUGUAUUAGUUAUGAACCGGAUUGGUUUUCAAUAAACCGAACAAUAUAAAACUCGAGAUUGUGAACCACGAGAUUUAACGGUCAAUGUACUAUUCCCACGUUGGUUCAUAAUAUCGUUUCAAGUAGCGCGCUCUAUUUAUUUCCUAAAAGAGAAAGUGUUACCUACUACACACAUAUAGCUGAGAAGAGAGGGGUAAAUCUAUUUGUAAAAAAAAAGAAACCAGAUUGAGUAAUUCUUGCACUCUCUCGUCUUCCUCUUUCGCUUCGAGAUAAUACUGUAUAUCCCUGCGUAGAGAUCAGUCGAGAAAGAUGGGAGGAUUCUCUACGAAGAAGAUGAUGUUUCAGCAGCUUCUUACUUCAGUCCUGUUGCUUCAUCUCUUGAUCUCGUCUUCUUCUGGUGAGUAUCGAAUACUAAUGCUGUUCAAAACCAUCUUUGUUUGUUCAUUAAAGUUACCAUCUUGAUUCGUUAUGUUGCAAAGAAACCUCUUUUGAAAUUGCGAUGUCAUACUAAAAGAUCUUCAUAGUAAAAAAGAUGGACAUCUCGUUGCAAUGGCAAGACUUGUUCUCUCUAUUUCAUAUAGAAUCAAAACAUUGCAAGAAAAUCUUAUACAAAAAGUGUUGUUGAAUCUUCGAGCGUUGUUGUUGUUGUUAUUCAGGUGCACUAGUUAACUCAAGUGAGAACGGAGUAUGUAUUUCUAAAAGGGGACGACCAUACGAGUUAGAAGGAAAGCUUCCCAAGCCUGGUGAUCUAAACCUGUGUAAUGCCUUCCAUGACAAGACUUGCUGGUCUGCUUCAUUAGCUCUCCAAAACCUAGCUACGCAUGGAGAAGCUUCUAAAGAUUGCUUCUACUUCUAUGAUCUUU